GGGGAAUAUUGGACAAUGGGGGCAACCCUGAUCCAGCAAUGCCGCGUGUGUGAAGAAGGUCUUCGGAUUGUAAAGCACUUUCGACGGGGACGAUGAUGACGGUACCCGUAGAAGAAGCCCCGGCUAACUUCGUGCCAGCAGCCGCGGUAAUACGAAGGGGGCUAGCGUUGCUCGGAAUGACUGGGCGUAAAGGGCGUGUAGGCGGUUUACACAGUCAGAUGUGAAAUCCCCGGGCUUAACCUGGGAGCUGCAUUUGAUACGUGUAGACUAGAGUGUGAGAGAGGGUUGUGGAAUUCCCAGUGUAGAGGUGAAAUUCGUAGAUAUUGGGAAGAACACCGGUG
This 341-nucleotide ribosomal RNA is filed under the name uncultured bacterium. Its description in RNAcentral is "partial 16S ribosomal RNA". It matches the Rfam family "Bacterial small subunit ribosomal RNA", at positions 356 to 714 of the family's 1533-position model. The record is from RNAcentral.